CUCAGCAGCCAUAUCACCCUGCAACUCACAAUUGGCAGCCCACUGAAGCUAAGCAGGUGUGAGCCUGGUCAGUACCUGGAUGGGAGACCUCCUGGGAAAAACUGCUGCUGGAA
This 113-nucleotide ribosomal RNA is filed under the name Lepisosteus oculatus (spotted gar). Lineage: Eukaryota; Metazoa; Chordata; Actinopteri; Semionotiformes; Lepisosteidae. The record is from RNAcentral.